Molecule: ribosomal RNA, 333 nt
Filed under: Klebsiella pneumoniae
Lineage: Bacteria; Pseudomonadati; Pseudomonadota; Gammaproteobacteria; Enterobacterales; Enterobacteriaceae
Description: partial 23S ribosomal RNA
Rfam family: Bacterial large subunit ribosomal RNA
Source: RNAcentral
GUGAAGAUGCAGUGUACCCGCGGCAAGACGGAAAGACCCCGUGAACCUGUACUAUAGCUUGAAACUGAACAUUGAGCCUUGAUGUGUAGGAUAGGUGGGAGGCUUUGAGGCGUGGACGCCAGUCUGCGUGGAGCCAACCUUGAAAUACCACCCGUUAAUGUUUGAUGUUCUAACGUUGGCCCCUGACCGGGAUUGCGGACAGUGUCUGGUGGGUAGUUUGACUGGGGCGGUCUACUCCCAAAGCGUAACGGAGGAGCACGAAGGUUAGCUAAUCCUGGUCGGACAUCAGGAGGUUAGUGCAAUGGCAUAAGCUAGCUUGACUGCGAGCGUGAC